Molecule: non-coding RNA, 314 nt
Organism: Pelobates cultripes (western spadefoot toad)
Lineage: Eukaryota; Metazoa; Chordata; Amphibia; Anura; Pelobatidae
Source: the annotation of a GenBank genome assembly
AACCCAUCGUGCACCACUUCAGAAGAGGGGGGUGUCAUUACCCUGGUCUGAUAUUCAAAUUGACUUUAUAGGUCCUGUAACAAGAUCUUCAAGAGGUAACAAAUACAUGUUAACCGUUACAUGUAUGUACACAAAGUGGAUAGAAUGUUUGCCUUGUAAAGAGAACACGAGUACCGUGUGCGCCACUUUGUUGAUUAACCAUGUCUUUUCCAGGUUCGGUCUUCCUCAAAGAAUUGAGUCAGACAGAGGUAGUCAUUUUACCAGCGAAGUAAUGGCUAAGAUGUGGAACAUUCUAGGUGUUAAACGAAAGCUAC